Gasterosteus aculeatus aculeatus (three-spined stickleback) is the source of this 2670-nucleotide long non-coding RNA. RefSeq lists it as uncharacterized. The record is from RefSeq and is a predicted model, not a curated record. NCBI's taxonomy places the organism in Eukaryota, Metazoa, Chordata, Actinopteri, Perciformes, Gasterosteidae.
CAGCUGCUGAUGUUAAGUAAACCACGAUGCCCCAGCGGGGGCAAACCAGUAGGGACGUAAACACCGUUGUCUGUGGAUCCCUGCAGUGCUCCUGCCUUGCACCUACUAUUCUCAAUAUUUGAAUAAUUUCUGUUGUAGGAAUUUAUAGAAAACGGAAUUUAAUUGAAUGUCACAGGUCCAUUGUCAUAUACUACAAAGAGACUGGACAUGAUAUACAAUACAAACUAUUAUUAUGAAAAAUAUAAGACAAUCAAAGACAAACAGAGUUAUUGAUCAGCAUCUCUGCAAUUCAUGUCACCAGUUUGUGAAACAUUUAUUAGACAAAGACAUAACCAUUCCGGAUAUUUCCUAAAGCAAAAACACACACAUCAAACAUUCUACAUUCUAAUCAAAAGAAAAAGGGAACAGAGAAGCACACAUUCAUCUUCGGGCACCAUUAAUCCCACCAUAAAUCCCACUGCAUUACCAGCGGGUAACUGUUGAGGGGAAUAGCUUCAAACUAAGUAUCAUACACUUAAAUCUGGCUUCGUAGGAGAUCAUAGAUAUGUUAUUUCAUCCUGUGAGUCCACCCAGCACCACUGAGCAUCGUAGCCCAACAAAGACGUGUCUCCAUUAGGCGCCACCUCUUCCUCUUUCUUCGCAUCAUUCCGAGAGACUCUGAAACUCUGAGUUUGUUGCUUUGUCCGUGUCUCUUCUGAUGGUUUAGUGAGGGAGAAAAUGUCCCUCGCACUUCUUGCCUUGUGAGAUCUGAGAAGAGCUCUUCUGAUGGUGCCAGCAUUUUUUUCGAGGUCUUGUGACGGAGCGACCUUGGAGCCCUGCGGUCGUGAUUUUUGUAAUUUGGCAUCAACAAAAAAGUUUGCAAGACCAGGUGAUGACCGACGAUCGCUGCCAUGAGUGACUUGGAACUUCAAGCGAGGACGAGGAGGUUUUUCUCCAGUAGACUCUGGGAUCCGCAAGUCUCCAUUGUGGCUUGAUUCUGCAUCAUCAGCAUGUGGUGGGUGACCAGCUGAUUCCUCACCGGAGUCUUCAGUCAAAUCUUGACUUGGGCUCUGGCUUUCUCUGUGGGAGAAAUGACACGAAUACUAAGCCACAUAUGAAGGGGACAACGGGAGCCCGUGCUCCUCCACAGCCACCAGGCUGCUCAGGCUGCCUGCCAGGCUGCUGCCACGGCUGGUCGAAGCCCCCCUCUCCUCCAUCAGCCAACGCAUGGCCUCGAUGCCCUCGUGGACGGUCACCAGCUGGCGCAGAAUCUUCACGUCGGCAGAACGCAGCAACCUCUGCAAGGACAGAGAGGAGUUGGCCUCUUAGCUUGUCAGAAAAGCUCUGACCGAAGGCGCUGCUCCGGUCUCCCCUGUCGACCACGUCCGACCACCAACCAUCUCCGCAGUCCGCAGCAUCCCUCAUCCAAAUCAGAAGGCUCUCCGGCGUCUUCCUGCCAACCUUAUUUUCCACUUCUCUCAGAUCUGCCAAGGAAUCGUUGAGGAUUUCCUCCGCCAUCCCGCCGCGCAGCAUUUCCUUCCAAGUCCUGCGAUCAGGUGGACGCGGGAUGGAGAAGAGCGCACGUGCGUAAAGUGCCUUUCCCCAAAUUCCACCGUGAGAAGUUAAGACUGCGCAGACUCGCACUCUCAAAAACUCACACCCAGACUCACAGCCAAGGUCCCGCGCGUUAUAUCCCCGCGAGCACUCGACAACAAAACCCGCGACCGCGACCGACGCACGCGGUGCCACAAAGGCGCCGCGGAACGAGCCGUGAAAACGCUGGAACGACGGAUCACCUGCUGACGGGCCGUCGGCAUUCAUGCCACUGAGGUGUUGAUGGUAUGCGGCAGGUGGUGCUGGAAAGUCCUCAAACAAUGGUCACGUGAAGUGGCGCCACCUGUGCGCAUCGAGCCGACGGGGAUGGGAGAAGGUCACGUUCACGUGAUUCCUCUGUUCAUCUCUAUCUCUAAUCAACUGGAGGGCACAAGUGUAGCUGAUGUGUAAAAUAUAAUGGCUAUAAGUCAUUAGUGUCACUUAUUUUCUGGGAUCAAAUGUAAAUGUCCUCGUGGCAAUUUCUGUGUGUUCAUUUAUUUGUAUUAAGGUGGUGAAGGUUUGUAUUUUAACACUCUGAUAUCUUGUUCAAUUAAGUUGCAUUGAUAACAUAUCAAGGAAAUGACUGUGUAUUUUUUAAAUCCCAGAUAUAAUAUGGCAACUAUAUAUUUACUGAAUAAAAAGGUUGUGGAAGUAUAGGCACAGGGACCCCAAAGGCCCAAAUCCAUCUGUUUCCUUUUGGUGUAUUAGGCUCAGAUUUGCAGAAUGUAAUGGGACUGUACGGUUAUUGACCUACGAUGCUCAAGAUGCCAUUUCAGAAACUUAACAUCAAUGUCUCUUCCCAGACAUCCACUGACCCUGUUGUGCGUGUUAUUUUAGAUCUUAGGGUUAACUGUCUGUCAAAAAUAGUCUGUGGAAGAAACAGGUCUGAUUUUUAGACACAGAAAACUAAGCAGAGAGCGAGCUGACAUCUGUCACUGACUGAAACGUCAUCUUGCUCCAUAUUGGUGCCUUUCAAAACCAGGGCAAGAGUCAAGGGAGGUUCCUGCUUCCGUAAACCAGGGUUGUGCUUUAUUAAAUUGUUAAAGGUGAAAGUGGCGUUCUAAGAAAAAAGGAGCCGAAUACAUGAAUGAAAAAUAA